This 1544-nucleotide ribosomal RNA is filed under the name Escherichia coli. RNAcentral describes it as "partial 23S ribosomal RNA". It matches the Rfam family "Bacterial large subunit ribosomal RNA", at positions 1 to 1581 of the family's 2925-position model. The record is from RNAcentral. Lineage: Bacteria; Pseudomonadati; Pseudomonadota; Gammaproteobacteria; Enterobacterales; Enterobacteriaceae.
GGGUUGUGAGGUUAAGCGACUAAGCGUACACGGUGGAUGCCCUGGCAGUCAGAGGCGAUGAAGGACGUGCUAAUCUGCGAUAAGCGUCGGUGAGGUGAUAUGAACCGUUAUAACCGGCGAUUUCCGAAUGGGGAAACCCAGUGUGUUUCGACACACUAUCAUUAACUGAAUCCAUAGGUUAAUGAGGCGAACCGGGGGAACUGAAACAUCUAAGUACCCCGAGGAAAAGAAAUCAACCGAGAUUCCCCCAGUAGCGGCGAGCGAACGGGGAGGAGCCCAGAGCCUGAAUCAGUGUGUGUGUUAGUGGAAGCGUCUGGAAAGGCGUGCGAUACAGGGUGACAGCCCCGUACACAAAAAUGCACAUAUUGUGAGCUCGAUGAGUAGGGCGGGACACGUGGUAUCCUGUCUGAAUAUGGGGGGACCAUCCUCCAAGGCUAAAUACUCCUGACUGACCGAUAGUGAACCAGUACCGUGAGGGAAAGGCGAAAAGAACCCCGGCGAGGGGAGUGAAAAAGAACCUGAAACCGUGUACGUACAAGCAGUGGGAGCCUCUUAAUGGGGUGACUGCGUACCUUUUGUAUAAUGGGUCAGCGACUUAUAUUCUGUAGCAAGGUUAACCGAAUAGGGGAGCCGAAGGGAAACCGAGUCUUAACUGGGCGUUAAGUUGCAGGGUAUAGACCCGAAACCCGGUGAUCUAGCCAUGGGCAGGUUGAAGGUUGGGUAACACUAACUGGAGGACCGAACCGACUAAUGUUGAAAAAUUAGCGGAUGACUUGUGGCUGGGGGUGAAAGGCCAAUCAAACCGGGAGAUAGCUGGUUCUCCCCGAAAGCUAUUUAGGUAGCGCCUCGUGAAUUCAUCUCCGGGGGUAGAGCACUGUUUCGGCAAGGGGGUCAUCCCGACUUACCAACCCGAUGCAAACUGCGAAUACCGGAGAAUGUUAUCACGGGAGACACACGGCGGGUGCUAACGUCCGUCGUGAAGAGGGAAACAACCCAGACCGCCAGCUAAGGUCCCAAAGUCAUGGUUAAGUGGGAAACGAUGUGGGAAGGCCCAGACAGCCAGGAUGUUGGCUUAGAAGCAGCCAUCAUUUAAAGAAAGCGUAAUAGCUCACUGGUCGAGUCGGCCUGCGCGGAAGAUGUAACGGGGCUAAACCAUGCACCGAAGCUGCGGCAGCGACACUAUGUGUUGUUGGGUAGGGGAGCGUUCUGUAAGCCUGUGAAGGUGGCCUGUGAGGGUUGCUGGAGGUAUCAGAAGUGCGAAUGCUGACAUAAGUAACGAUAAAGCGGGUGAAAAGCCCGCUCGCCGGAAGACCAAGGGUUCCUGUCCAACGUUAAUCGGGGCAGGGUGAGUCGACCCCUAAGGCGAGGCCGAAAGGCGUAGUCGAUGGGAAACAGGUUAAUAUUCCUGUACUUGGUGUUACUGCGAAGGGGGGACGGAGAAGGCUAUGUUGGCCGGGCGACGGUUGUCCCGGUUUAAGCGUGUAGGCUGGUUUUCCAGGCAAAUCCGGAAAACCAAGGCUGAGGCGUGAUGACGAGGCACUACG